Molecule: ribosomal RNA, 1257 nt
Filed under: Staphylococcus saprophyticus
Lineage: Bacteria; Bacillati; Bacillota; Bacilli; Caryophanales; Staphylococcaceae
Description: bacterial SSU rRNA
Rfam family: Bacterial small subunit ribosomal RNA
Source: RNAcentral
UUAGCGGCGGACGGGUGAGUAACACGUGGGUAACCUACCUAUAAGACUGGGAUAACUUCGGGAAACCGGAGCUAAUACCGGAUAACAUUUGGAACCGCAUGGUUCUAAAGUGAAAGAUGGUUUUGCUAUCACUUAUAGAUGGACCCGCGCCGUAUUAGCUAGUUGGUAAGGUAACGGCUUACCAAGGCGACGAUACGUAGCCGACCUGAGAGGGUGAUCGGCCACACUGGAACUGAGACACGGUCCAGACUCCUACGGGAGGCAGCAGUAGGGAAUCUUCCGCAAUGGGCGAAAGCCUGACGGAGCAACGCCGCGUGAGUGAUGAAGGGUUUCGGCUCGUAAAACUCUGUUAUUAGGGAAGAACAAAUGUGUAAGUAACUGUGCACGUCUUGACGGUACCUAAUCAGAAAGCCACGGCUAACUACGUGCCAGCAGCCGCGGUAAUACGUAGGUGGCAAGCGUUAUCCGGAAUUAUUGGGCGUAAAGCGCGCGUAGGCGGUUUCUUAAGUCUGAUGUGAAAGCCCACGGCUCAACCGUGGAGGGUCAUUGGAAACUGGGAAACUUGAGUGCAGAAGAGGAAAGUGGAAUUCCAUGUGUAGCGGUGAAAUGCGCAGAGAUAUGGAGGAACACCAGUGGCGAAGGCGACUUUCUGGUCUGUAACUGACGCUGAUGUGCGAAAGCGUGGGGAUCAAACAGGAUUAGAUACCCUGGUAGUCCACGCCGUAAACGAUGAGUGCUAAGUGUUAGGGGGUUUCCGCCCCUUAGUGCUGCAGCUAACGCAUUAAGCACUCCGCCUGGGGAGUACGACCGCAAGGUUGAAACUCAAAGGAAUUGACGGGGACCCGCACAAGCGGUGGAGCAUGUGGUUUAAUUCGAAGCAACGCGAAGAACCUUACCAAAUCUUGACAUCCUUUGAAAACUCUAGAGAUAGAGCCUUCCCCUUCGGGGGACAAAGUGACAGGUGGUGCAUGGUUGUCGUCAGCUCGUGUCGUGAGAUGUUGGGUUAAGUCCCGCAACGAGCGCAACCCUUAAGCUUAGUUGCCAUCAUUAAGUUGGGCACUCUAGGUUGACUGCCGGUGACAAACCGGAGGAAGGUGGGGAUGACGUCAAAUCAUCAUGCCCCUUAUGAUUUGGGCUACACACGUGCUACAAUGGACAAUACAAAGGGCAGCUAAACCGCGAGGUCAUGCAAAUCCCAUAAAGUUGUUCUCAGUUCGGAUUGUAGUCUGCAACUCGACUACAUGAAGCUGGAAUCGC